UACGGGGGUGGCAAGCGUUGUUCGGAAUUACUGGGCGUAAAGGGCUCGUAGGUGGCCAACUAAGUCAGACGUGAAAUCCCUCGGCUUAACCGGGGAACUGCGUCUGAUACUGGAUGGCUUGAGUUCGGGAGAGGGAUGCGGAAUUCCAGGUGUAGCGGUGAAAUGCGUAGAUAUCUGGAGGAACACCGGUGGCGAAGGCGGCAUCCUGGACCGACACUGACACUGAGGAGCGAAAGCCAGGGGAGCAAACGGG
RNAcentral lists this ribosomal RNA (253 nucleotides) under uncultured bacterium. RNAcentral describes it as "partial 16S ribosomal RNA". It matches the Rfam family "Bacterial small subunit ribosomal RNA", at positions 524 to 776 of the family's 1533-position model. The record is from RNAcentral.